This 459-nucleotide ribosomal RNA is filed under the name uncultured bacterium. Its description in RNAcentral is "partial 16S ribosomal RNA". It matches the Rfam family "Bacterial small subunit ribosomal RNA", at positions 338 to 795 of the family's 1533-position model. The record is from RNAcentral.
CCUACGGGUGGCAGCAGUGAGGAAUAUUGGUCAAUGGGCGCAAGCCUGAACCAGCCAAGUCGCGUGAGGGAAGACGGUCCUAUGGAUUGUAAACCUCUUUUGUCGGGGAGCAAAGCGCGGUACGAGUACCGCGCAGGAGAGUACCCGCAGAAAAAGCAUCGGCUAACUCCGUGCCAGCAGCCGCGGUAAUACGGGGGAUGCGAGCGUUAUCCGGAUUUAUUGGGUUUAAAGGGUGCGUAGGCGGAUUUGUAAGUCAGCGGUAAAAAUGCGGUGCGCAACGCCGUAUCGCCGUUGAAACUGCAGGUCGUGAGUGAGGGAGAAGGAUGCGGAAUUCCUAGUGUAGCGGUGAAAUGCGUAGAUAUUAGGAGGAACACCAGUGGCGAAGGCGGCUGACUGGACGGUAACUGACGUUGAGGCUCGAAAGCGUGGGGAGCAAACAGGAUUAGAUACCCAGUAGUC